Molecule: ribosomal RNA, 549 nt
Filed under: fungal endophyte
Lineage: Eukaryota; Fungi
Description: eukaryotic LSU rRNA
Rfam family: Eukaryotic large subunit ribosomal RNA
Source: RNAcentral
CGGCGAAGUGAAGCGGCAACAGCUCAAAUUUGAAAUCUGGCUCUUUUUAAGGGUCCGAGUUGUAAUUUGCAGAGGAUGCUUUGGCAUUGGCGGCGGUCUAAGUUCCUUGGAACAGGACAUCACAGAGGGUGAGAAUCCCGUACGUGGUCGCCUGCCCUUGCCGUGUAAAGCUCCUUCGACGAGUCAAGUUGUUUGGGAAUGCAGCUCUAAAUGGGAGGUAAAUUUCUUCUAAAGCUAAAUACUGGCCAGAGACCGAUAGCGCACAAGUAGAGUGAUCGAAAGAUGAAAAGUACUUUGGAAAGAGAGUCAAAAAGCACGUGAAAUUGUUGAAAGGGAAGCGCUUGCAGCCAGACUUGCCCGCAGUUGCUCACCUAGGCUUUCGCCUGGGGCACUCUUCUGCGGGCAGGCCAGCAUCAGUUUGGGCGGUUGGAUAAAGGCCUCUGUCACGUAUCUCCCUUCGGGGUGACCUUAUAGGGGAGGCGUAAUGCAACCAGCCCGGACUGAGGUCCGCGCAUCUGCUAGGAUGCUGGCGUAAUGGCUGUAAGCGGC